Long non-coding RNA from Zea mays, 7752 nucleotides. RefSeq lists it as uncharacterized. The transcript has 2 exons. The record is from RefSeq and is a predicted model, not a curated record. Lineage: Eukaryota; Viridiplantae; Streptophyta; Magnoliopsida; Poales; Poaceae.
CUUGGAAAAUUAUUUUAGCCAUCUUCAUUUCUUGAGCACGUACAUCUCCCUAGAUAUAUUCUUCAAUGUACUCAUCCUGAUCUCCACGCGUUGAGCUCUCUGGGGACUCUUUUCCCUCACGUCAUCCCUCCCAUCUCUCAUUCUCCAAUAUAUCCUAUGCACAUAUAUUCAAGAGUUCCCCCACGCACUCACUAUCUCACGCAAGCCUCUCUGCCAUGCUCUAGCUCUCAGACAUGCUGCUUGCCUCCAGCGAUCUCCUCGUCGCUCAACUUUGCCAGGACUCACCCAGGCCUGUGUUCCCUCCGCAGUUGCUCGUUCUUCUCGCCAGGUCUUCUUCGCCCUCAGCCAUGGCACUGGCCGUGUGCCCCAGCGCCGGUCGCUCCUCCCUGCUUGCCCUCCAGCUCGACCUGGCCGCGCGCCCUCCAGCUCGGUGCUCCCCUGCUCGGUUUUCCCUGCGUCGCGCGCGUUCCGUCAUCCCCUGCUGUGACCCCACCGUGGAGCUCCCCUGCAGCGCGUCCCUGUUUCCUUGUUGCUGCUCAUGCGAUGGGGUUCGUCCUCUGGGCCACGUCGGCAUGUGUAGUCGUUCCCUGCCUCUGAACCCCGGCUGGUCUAUGCUGCAACUCGCCGUCGAAUCGCCUGCUCCGCUGUAUGAAGUCGGCUUGUGUCGCACGUCUGGUGCUCGACGAAAAGCUCGAACAUGAGACCGUCAUCGAUCCUGCCGUCGUCCAUCUCGCCAACAUCGACUUCGUCUCAAAUAUCACCUCGACUUUGCGACAGCAGUCCGAUGUUUCUAAUGUCGCCCUGAGCUUAUUCCGUGUGCCACGACGUCUUGUUUACCUCCACGCCAAGGCAUCACCGAGGUACGUGAAUUAACCACGUGAUGCGGAAGACGAGCCAAGUCAACCCCAAGCGCGGGCUAAUCCGCAGGAUGAAGCUGAUAAACUAAUCUGAAGAUGGAUAGACGAAACAAGAUCAGAACAAAAGAUGAUCGUCAAGUGGACAUCGUCUAACAAACACUAACCUAGUGUUUCUUCCAGGCAAGCCUCGGUGCAUGCAACCCCUUCCUUGUGUUUUUAAAUUAUUUUUACACACUUUAAGUCUAGUGAAAUGUGCAUUAAGUUUAUAGGAGUUGCUUGGAACCCUUUGAUGCAUUGCCUUCCUUGAUAUCCAUACCUUUAUAGAUACUUCUGAUGAAGUAUCAAAUUCUGAUUUACAAAAAUGCUUAGCCCUGCUCAGAUCUUGUGGAUAGAGGUUUGUCUUUUGCUUUAAGGCCUAGCUUAGGGGUUAUCCUGAGAAAAGAUGGCUUCUACCUGCAAGAAUAUUUUCAUUGAGAGCGUGGUGGGAUCUUACUGCAAAGUUCCCUGUGAUGCUCUUUUCAUCCUAAGGAACACAAACAAUCCUAAGGAUGGAAGUACUUAAAUCGGGACUUGGGCUAUGAACAGGUGAUGUUCUACCCAGGUUAUUUAAGGAUUGGAUGCGUAUGUAGGCCUGUAUGAUCAAGGACUAUCUUAACUAGCCACAUGCCCUGGAUAUGGGACAGGGUAAGCUUGAACCCGGCUAUUCCAUACAUGAAAAGACAAUCGCGCACUGGGAGUGGAGAGAUGGCAAGAGUGGCACGUACCCUCCUGGCAAAGGAUCGCCUAAAAGGGGUGGUGUGCUCUCGGGUGGCGUGGACCUGUUCAUGUAGUGGAGGAUCCGUGGGAACGGUUGACAUAUGCAAGGGUUAAGUGCUACAUAUGUCGUGUGGUUAGAGAUCCUCAGCUGAGUAAAUCGAUUCAGAUCGCCGUUAUAUCCCCGGAGAGUGGAGACUUGAUCGCUGCCCUGCAACCUAAGUCAGGAUGUGAACCUCAUGAAUAAAAAUGAUGUUUUAUUGAUGAGAUGGUGAAAUUAGACCAGAUGCAAACAGAGUCUAUUAAUAUUUUAUCUGACAUUAAAAUAUUGAAAGUAAGGACUCACUUUAGUAAGCUAAUUCUGCAAAAGUAUCUAAGUUGAUUCUUGCUAAAGCCUCUCCUUGAUUCCCAAAUCCAGCAUAUCCUUGAGAGUCUUUUCUUUAGUCGGGUAAGUCUUGCUGAGUAAUUCCAUACUCAGGGUUUUAUUCCCUGUUGUUUUUCAGGUUAUAGUUUUGUGCUGCUGUGAUGGUGUUAAGUGCCGGUGGGCUCGGCCUUCUUAUAUAAGUAUACCCCAUCUUUACCUUCUUAUUGAGGAUGGUCACUUGAGCUAGCAUAUAUUUCAAACUUACAAAUAAUUUAUAACAAUUUAAAGUUAUUUCUUUGAAUCACAUUUGUAAUCACUCCGAUCAUACAAAGUAAAAUUUUUGUAACUUGUAAAAUUUGGUAAUAAGAUUUCCGCUGCAAAGAUGUUGAUGUGUGUGAUUUGUGUUUACUUAAUCCCGCGGUUCUGGUUGUAAGUGGUUUAUCCGAUGUCCUUGGGGCAAUCGGACGGAUCCUGUUGAGUUAUUUAGUGCACAUGCAUAGCUGUCUGAGGUCUUUGAGACAAGGAUAGGUGCAUGUGGGCCCAAUAACUUGGGAGGUUCUGCCACAGCUGGUAUCGGAGCAGGAUUAAGUAUCUACAGUCACAUACGUAUUUUCAAAACAAAAGUUUUGAUUUUGAAAAACCUAUUUUCAACUAAACACAUUGUUUGGCUUUGAAAAACAGUUUUGAAAAACUAUAAUGCUAGCGACAUCCUCUGUUAAGCCCUAAACUAAGGACUAUCAGGUGGCUUAGUGAAAACCAUAACCCAUAACCAGGUGGGUAUUGCAUACAUGUGUAUUGUUAUUUUUGAGGCCAUUCAGUUUUGAAUGGAUCGACGUUCAGGUAAAGUGAGAUGUGAGAGCAUGACCGAACAAACGUCGGUCAGGGAAGAGUGUAAAAAGCGCUUGAUUAUAUACAUGUUCCACAUAUGUAUAUAUGAAGGCUGCGAUGUGGAGUAUUUACUUUUCUGGGAAUUCAGUACCCCAUGGAUGUGUAUGGGUAUACAGACAUGGGACUACUGAGAAGUGUAAUGUACUUGUAACGACGCACCUACGCUAAGGUAAGAAGGUGAGUUACCAUAAUGAGUUGCCCUAUGGUUAAAGUGUGGCAACGGCGCCUAUGCGUGGCUCGGCGCUUAAUGAUGAGCUGGCCUCCAUAUAGCAAUAUAUAGAGUAUAAACUGUGAUAAACUGUCAUGUAUGAACUGCAUCAUGGGAAUUGGGCUGCAAUGGAAUUUUCUGCAGGUACACUAACCUCGAAAACGUAUGUGUAGUUGACGACUAGCAAGAUACCGAGAGAGAACGUAUGCCACCAACAUAGAACGUUAUUGCCACAGUGUGUUGGCAAAAUCAGUGAGGACGAAUAGGACGAGCAUGCAUCCUGAUUGUUGCAUCAUGUUUGUCACCUAUACACCCAAAAUGCUUCUCUCAUCUUUAUUCCAGCAACCAUUGAUUGUAGAUAAUGUAGUGUAAUGCGGUAUUAUGGACUUCGAUAAAAUAGAUGUCCUCCGUUCUUUAGAUAAUCUAUUUAGGUGUCAUAUGUGUUUCCCUUGUACUGGAGGUGCCGAUAGAAGGUUGUGACCUGUUUGUUUAAACCAAAAAUUAGGCCAUGUUCUUAUUUAGUGAACCAUGACCCAAAGUUGAUUUUUCUGUUAUCACUCCAUGACCAAACACCUAAAAAUAAAUGCCUAGAUAAUUUCUUUGUUGGACCUAAAGUGUACCCGGACUUGAAACAAGAAUCUCGAGUCAUGUCUCCAUCCUAAACCAUAUCCUUAUUCAGUUGGUGCAAGCUGAUGUCUCUAUUCCAGUUUGCCUGUUCUUGAAGAUUGCAAUGUUGUUUUAUCAACCUAACCUAGGAAAAGCAAGUCCAACCAUUUUCUUGAAUUUGAUGCCUUUGGUUUCCUCAUGUUUAUCGAAGGCAUAUCAACUUAAUCCUUGACCUUGUGAUCUCUGCGAUGGGCAUAGAAAUAUGCUUGGGGCUGAAGUUACAGUCUCCCAUCGUACUCCCUCACCACCCAGUUUAGAUUAUGGCCACGCCUUGUUCAUUUCAUCGGGCCAUGAUCUAUUUGGCUCUCUACUUGUAACCAUUCAUACAGGUGGAGUAUCUCUUUGUAUAUUAUCACCCUUGCCCAGUCUAUUUGUGUUGUGCGAGAUUUCUUAUUGGUUAUGUUUGGUAAUGGCGUUAUGACUAAAACCGAUGGUGCCGUGACGAAACCGAGGGCCUCCUGUGAAUGUACACACAUGGUUGCGCUACUUGGCACGCGCUGGUAUCACGGUUAGUAGUUGUAAUCCAUUAUGAGACUAUGUCAAUAUGUUAUCUUGGCACAAUCUGUUUUUGCUACGUGAGAUUCAUUAUUAGUGCCAGUUCGGUAAUGGUGUCACGAUUAACGACUUAUGGUGCCGCAGCGAAACUGAGAGCCCCUUGUGAAUGUACACGCAAGGUUAUGCUGCUUGACGCAUGCUGGUAUCGAGGUCUCUAGUCAUGAUCCAUUGUGGAACUACACUGAUAUGUGAUCUUUCGUGGACUUCUCCCUUGGAACAAUUUUUAUGUUGUUUGUCAAGUGAUCAAGCAACAUCUAUCAUCUCUGUUAGAUCAAAAGGGCAAACCCCUUACUUGUGUUGUCUCUUUCCCCUUGACCUUGAUAGUGACUGCACGCAUAGAAGUUUCCUUUACAUCCUUUGUGUAAAGGUGAAACCUUGGAGCUUUUUAGUGUCGAGAGGCAACUGAUUAGCUCUCAAAUUGGAGAUUGGAUUUCCCCUGCUGCUGAGAUGCAGGAGUUUAUUCAUUCGCUCUCUUAUUUAAUCCAUGUAUUCCUGAACUAAGUCGGUUCAUCUCGCAUGAAGAAACGGAUGAACAACCAGACCAAAUGCAUUUCUACCUAAAUGCAUGACUUGUUGCGAGUAAAUGUGAACUCUCGACCAUAGGCUUACCGAUGGUACUGAGAGGACUUGCUCAAUGUCAAAAGUAGUUCAACAAGUUGGUUUUGACUAACUUGUAACUGCAUUUGGAACGAAGGUUGAGUUUAGAGAUCGUUUUAUCGAGUUGUCUAAACUCACUUUGGUUCAACCCACCCUAAAGAAAGUACUUGCAAGAAUUAAGUCAAGUUGACUGAUAACCACCUAAUCAUCGCUCUAGUCAUGCCACGAUCGCUUCACGUGUGCUUUUCCGGCAUGUGUGAUCAAGUAGAUCCAGGAUUAAUGCUCAAUAAAAUGGGUUGGUUGCGAAGGCAGCAUCUACAGACCCCUCCGCUGGUGAUUUUCUCAAAUCUAUAUCACCUUUAAUGGACUUGGAUUUUUCUGGCUAGCCAUGGGUCAAUUGUGAUGUUAUUCGACAUUCACACCCGUCUCGUGUGCUAUGAAUUUACCAUGACCACUUGUUGGUAAACCCCUUUCUGUGUGUUUUACCCAAGAGGUUGCAUCUGGUUCUAUUUGGGUAAAGUCGCAUAUCUAUCGCUCGCCCAACAGACUCAGAUAGUGCAGUGUCAUAAGAAAAAGCAAACUGCACACAUGGAACCUUAUUUGUUCCUCUGACAGGCAUCAUCUCUAUUGAUGGACAUCUUUAAAUAGCUUGUGGCGAUACAUGCUAUGUCCACUAGAGAAACCAUAUCCGGAGACAUUCGCCUUUACUUGGAUUGUCUUAUGAUUAACACUGAUAUGGACAUGGGUUAGAUGCUUCUCUACUCUUAGAAGUCUUUCGCUCUAAAUAUCGGGACGAGAUUCUUUUAAGGGGGGAGGGCUGUAACACCCCAGGUGUUUAUAUUCCGCUCGACAAUGAUUACGGAUUUAAGCACGUGAUAUCAGUAAAUAAGACGGACACUAAGGUCUAAUUAUUUUCAUCUAUCGCGGUUUAAUAUCGCAUCUAUUUCAUUUGUCGCAAGUGCGACAUCGUUUUUAUUUUUAUCUAUCCGGGCUCUUCCGAAAUUUUCGUGAUGUUCGGAACAUAGUUGUCCGAAAAUUGGUGCGUCCGGUGAUUAUUUAAAAUUCAUCGCUCGCGCAAAUACGAAAUUCGGAAGCUCGACCCACUCGGACGAUUUUAUCCCGGGCAAAUUAGUUUAAACUCGACGACUAAAAUACUCGGUGCAAGAUAAAUUGGAUCACACGCUACUUGAGAGAAAUCUUGCGCGAGAAAAAAGUGUCAGUACCGAAAUCAGUUAUUUUGGUCUGCUGUUUCUCGCCGGAUCCAAAUCUUCGGAUAUAAACAAUUAUUAAAUAAUUCGGUUUCCACUCGUCAACUGAGACAACUCGUCCGAGAAAUUUUAAUUGCGCUCCAAUUCACUGGUAAAUUAUCUGUGGCUGUGGAGCCAGUUGUUCGCGGAUGAAAUUAUUGACUUCAAAUCAAAUGGAACACAGUCCGAAAUACUAUUCUGAUUUGUUCCGAUUACGUCUCGUGCCAAUCUAAAAAUCUUGGCUCAAAAUAUCAGUGAUUCUCUAUUUAAAAAAAAGAGAGAAAGAAAUAAACAAAACAAAAAAAAAAUCCGCAGGAUCCCUAUCCUUACCGCCGCCCCCUUUGAUUUUUCAUCCACCGUUCUUAUCCCAGCGUGUGCACGUCGGCUCCUCGUUAAAAUAUCUCCACCGCUCAGCGGCUCCCUGAAAAAAAAAUAUUGUAUGCGUCUUCUGUUUUUUUAUCCUUAUCCUGAGUACGAUCAACUCUUGGAAAAUUAUUUUAGCCAUCUUCAUUUCUUGAGCACGUACAUCUCCCUAGAUAUAUUCUUCAAUGUACUCAUCCUGAUCUCCACGCGUUGAGCUCUCUGGGGACUCUUUUCCCUCACGUCAUCCCUCCCAUCUCUCAUUCUCCAAUAUAUCCUAUGCACAUAUAUUCAAGAGUUCCCCCACGCACUCACUAUCUCACGCAAGCCUCUCUGCCAUGCUCUAGCUCUCAGACAUGCUGCUUGCCUCCAGCGAUCUCCUCGUCGCUCAACUUUGCCAGGACUCACCCAGGCCUGUGUUCCCUCCGCAGUUGCUCGUUCUUCUCGCCAGGUCUUCUUCGCCCUCAGCCAUGGCACUGGCCGUGUGCCCCAGCGCCGGUCGCUCCUCCCUGCUUGCCCUCCAGCUCGACCUGGCCGCGCGCCCUCCAGCUCGGUGCUCCCCUGCUCGGUUUUCCCUGCGUCGCGCGCGUUCCGUCAUCCCCUGCUGUGACCCCGCCGUGGAGCUCCCCUGCAGCGCGUCCCUGUUUCCUUGUUGCUGCUCAUGCGAUGGGGUUCGUCCUCUGGGCCACGUCGGCAUGUGUAGUCGUUCCCUGCCUCUGAACCCCGGCUGGUCUAUGCUGCAACUCGCCGUCGAAUCGCCUGCUCCGCUGUAUGAAGUCGGCUUGUGUCGCACGUCUGGUGCUUGACGAAAAGCUCGAACAUGAGACCGUCAUCGAUCCUGCCGUCGUCCAUCUCGCCAACAUCGACUUCGUCUCAAAUAUCACCUCGACUUUGCGACAGCAGUCCGAUGUUUCUGAUGUCGCCCUGAGCUUAUUCCGUGUGCCACGACGUCUUGUUUACCUCCACGCCAAGGCAUCACCGAGGUAAUUGUGGGUUUCUUAGUGUGCUAUAAUUGUGUCUGAUUAUACGUGUGAAUCACAGUAAUGGAUUCUCAUUAAGGUGCUCGAUAAAUUGUGUAAGUCACGAAACUCUCGUUGACUUCGCAGUUCUUGCGAUUAUCGAGCCAGGUUCAGUUAUAGCGAGUUAUUUCGCUAUUUCGGUCAAUUAGCGGAAUUAGUGUACCGAGUAGAAUAUGAGUAGGCCUAUGUGAUGAUAAAAUAUUUUAAUCACUUCUAUAGAUGUAUAUAUAUAUAUAUU